This 446-nucleotide ribosomal RNA is filed under the name uncultured bacterium. Its description in RNAcentral is "bacterial SSU rRNA". It matches the Rfam family "Bacterial small subunit ribosomal RNA", at positions 329 to 792 of the family's 1533-position model. The record is from RNAcentral.
UUCCAGACUCCUACGGGAGGCAGCAGUGGGGAAUAUUGCACAAUGGGGGAAACCCUGAUGCAGCGACGCCGCGUGAGCGAUGAAGUAUUUCGGUAUGCAAAGCUCUAUCAGCAGGGAAGAAGAUGACGGUACCUGACUAAGAAGCCCCGGCUAACUACGUGCCAGCAGCCGCGGUAAUACGUAGGGGGCAAGCGUUAUCCGGAUUUACUGGGUGUAAAGGGAGCGUAGACGGCGGUGCAAGCCAGAUGUGAAAGCCCGGGGCUCAACCCCGGGACUGCAUUUGGAACUGUAUGGCUGGAGUGUCGGAGAGGCAGGCGGAAUUCCUAGUGUAGCGGUGAAAUGCGUAGAUAUUAGGAGGAACACCAGUGGCGAAGGCGGCCUGCUGGACGAUGACUGACGUUGAGGCUCGAAAGCGUGGGGAGCAAACAGGAUUAGAUACCCGAGUA